GAUGAAGAACGUAGUAAAGUGCGAUAUGUACUGCGCUGUGCGCGAAAUGCGCAGUCAUUCUUCGAAUACACAUUGUCCUGUCUGGCGAACAGCCGGCAGGGCAUCUGCUUCAGGGUUGUUGAUUAGUUUUAGCGCCGCCUCUGUCGGUGUUCCUAAGGGGUGUCACUACCACGGUGUCCCCCUCCACUUGCAGUCCUCGUUGCUCUUGCUUCUGUGGACUUGGGUGUCUAGCAGUCUGGUUCAUUGCUUGCAUUGUUCCGCUUCUGGCUUGCUUCUCCCUAACAAUUUAAUUGACCCGACCUGAAGUCAGGUGUGAGUACCCGCUGAACUUAAGCAUAUCAAUAAGCGGAGGA
This 353-nucleotide unclassified non-coding RNA is filed under the name soil metagenome. Its description in RNAcentral is "partial contains 5.8S ribosomal RNA, internal transcribed spacer 2, and large subunit ribosomal RNA". The stretch from base 1 to 118 matches the Rfam family "5.8S ribosomal RNA", at positions 35 to 154 of the family's 154-position model. The record is from RNAcentral.